This 449-nucleotide ribosomal RNA is filed under the name uncultured bacterium. RNAcentral's name for it is "partial 16S ribosomal RNA". It matches the Rfam family "Bacterial small subunit ribosomal RNA", at positions 29 to 523 of the family's 1533-position model. The record is from RNAcentral.
AGCGAGCGCUGGCGGCAGGCCUAACACAUGCAAGUCGAACGAAGUCUUCGGACUUAGUGGCGGACGGGUGAGUGACACGUGGGAACGUGCCUUUAGGUUCGGAAUAACUCAGGGAAACUUGUGCUAAUACCGAAUGUGCCCUUCGGGGGAAAGAUUUAUCGCCUUUAGAGCGGCCCGCGUCUGAUUAGCUAGUUGGUGAGGUAAAGGCUCACCAAGGCGACGAUCAGUAGCUGGUCUGAGAGGAUGAUCAGCCACAUUGGGACUGAGACACGGCCCAAACUCCUACGGGAGGCAGCAGUGGGGAAUCUUGCGCAAUGGGCGAAAGCCUGACGCAGCCAUGCCGCGUGAAUGAUGAAGGUCUUAGGAUUGUAAGAUUCUUUCACCGGGGACGAUAAUGACGGUACCCGGAGAAGAAGCCCCGGCUAACUUCGUGCCAGCCGCCGCGGUAA